GGAUUAGAUACCCUGGUAGUCCAUGCCGUAAACGAUGAUAACUAGCUAUUGGCGAUACACUGUCAGUGGCAAAGCGAAAGCAUUAAGUUAUCCACCUGGGAAGUACGGUCGCAAGAUUGAAACUCAAAGGAAUUGACGGGGGCCCGCACAAGCGGUGGAGCAUGUGGUUUAAUUCGAUGAUACGCGAGGAACCUUACCAGGGCUUAAAUGAAGAUUGACAGGACUGGAAACAGUUUUUUCUUCGGACAAUUUUCAAGGUGCUGCAUGGUUGUCGUCAGCUCGUGCUG
This 287-nucleotide ribosomal RNA is filed under the name uncultured bacterium. RNAcentral describes it as "partial 16S ribosomal RNA". It matches the Rfam family "Bacterial small subunit ribosomal RNA", at positions 775 to 1067 of the family's 1533-position model. The record is from RNAcentral.